GACGAACGCUGGCGGCGUGCCUAAUACAUGCAAGUCGAGCGAACCCGGGGUGCUUGCACCCUGAGGGUUAGCGGCGGACGGGUGAGUAACACGUGGGGAACCUGCCUUGCUGUCUGGGAUAACACCGGGAAACCGGUGCUAAUACCGGAUGUCCCCUUUCCGGCACCUGACGGAGAGGGACAAGGCGGCUUUGAGCCGCCGCAGCGAGAGGGGCACGCGGCGCAUUAGUUAGUUGGCAGGGUAACGGCCUCCCAAGGCGACGAUGCGUAGCCGACCUGAGAGGGUGAUCGGCCACACUGGGACUGAGACACGGCCCAGACUCCUACGGGAGGCAGCAGUAGGGAAUCAUCCGCAAUGGACGAAAGUCUGACGGUGCAACGCCGCGUGAGUGAUGAAGGUUUUCGGAUCGUAAAGCUCUGUUGUGAGGGAAGAAUAGGAUGGGGAGGAAAUGCCCGAUCUGUGACGGUACCUCACCAGAAAGCCCCGGCUAACUACGUGCCAGCCGCCGCGGUAA
This 514-nucleotide ribosomal RNA is filed under the name uncultured bacterium. RNAcentral's name for it is "partial 16S ribosomal RNA". It matches the Rfam family "Bacterial small subunit ribosomal RNA", at positions 28 to 523 of the family's 1533-position model. The record is from RNAcentral.